Molecule: ribosomal RNA, 399 nt
Filed under: uncultured bacterium
Lineage: Bacteria
Description: bacterial SSU rRNA
Rfam family: Bacterial small subunit ribosomal RNA
Source: RNAcentral
AAUCAACGCUGGCGGCGUGCCUCAGACAUGCAAGUCGAACGAUUAAACGUUUCCUUCGGGAAAGAUAUAAAGUGGCGCACGGGUGAGUAACACGUAGGUAAUCUACCUUUGAGUGGGGAAUAACAAUCGGAAACGAUUGCUAAUACCGCAUAAUGCAGCGGCACCGCAAGGUGACAGUUGUUAAAGGAGCAAUUCGCUUAAAGAGGAGCCUGCGGCAGAUUAGCUAGUUGGAAGGUAAUGGCUUACCAAGGCUACGAUCUGUAACCGACCUGAGAGGGUGGUCGGUCACACUGACACUGAAUAACGGGUCAGACUCCUACGGGAGGCAGCAGUCGGGAAUUUUGGGCAAUGGGCGAAAGCCUGACCCAGCAACGCCGCGUGAAGGAUGAAGUCUUUCGG